UACGUAGGGUGCGAGCGUUGUCCGGAAUUAUUGGGCGUAAAGGGCUCGUAGGCGGUUUGUCGCGUCGGGAGUGAAAACCAUGGGCUUAACUCAUGGCUUGCUUUCGAUACGGGCAGACUAGAGGUAUGCAGGGGAGAACGGAAUUCCUGGUGUAGCGGUGAAAUGCGCAGAUAUCAGGAGGAACACCGGUGGCGAAGGCGGAUCUCUGGGCCAUUACUGACGCUGAGGAGCGAAAGCGUGGGGAGCGAACAGG
RNAcentral lists this ribosomal RNA (253 nucleotides) under uncultured bacterium. Its description in RNAcentral is "partial 16S ribosomal RNA". It matches the Rfam family "Bacterial small subunit ribosomal RNA", at positions 524 to 776 of the family's 1533-position model. The record is from RNAcentral.